AGAGUUUGAUCCUGGCUCAGAAUCAACGCUGGCGGCGUGCCUAACACAUGCAAGUCGCACGAGAAAGGGGCUUCGGCCCUGAGUAAAGUGGCGCACGGGUGAGUAACACGUGACUAAUCUACCCUCGAGUGGGGAAUAACCUAGAGAAAUCUGGGCUAAUACCGCAUAACACUUACGAGUCAAAGCAGCAAUGCGCUUGGGGAGGAGGUCGCGGCCGAUUAGCUAGUUGGCGGGGUAAUGGCCCACCAAGGCGAUGAUCGGUAUCCGGCCUGAGAGGGCGCACGGACACACUGGAACUGAAACACGGUCCAGACUCCUACGGGAGGCAGCAGUGGGGAAUUUUGCGCAAUGGGGGAAACCCUGACGCAGCAACGCCGCGUGGAGGAUGAAGUAUCUUGGUACGUAAACUCCUUUCGAUUGGGAAGAUAAUGACGGUACCAAUAGAAGAAGCCCCGGCUAACUUCGUGCCAGCAGCCGCGGUAAUACGAGGGGGGCAAGCGUUGUUCGGAUUUAUUGGGCGUAAAGGGUGCGUAGGCGGUUUGGCAAGUCUUGUGUGAAAUCUUCGGGCUCAACCCGAAGUCUGCACAAGAAACUGCCGGGCUUGAGUAUGGGAGAGGUGAGUGGAAUUUCCGGUGUAGCGGUGAAAUGCGUAGAUAUCGGAAGGAACACCUGUGGCGAAAGCGGCUCACUGGACCAUAACUGACGCUGAGGCACGAAAGCUAGGGGAGCAAACAGGAUUAGAUACCCCGGUAGUCC
RNAcentral lists this ribosomal RNA (756 nucleotides) under uncultured bacterium. RNAcentral describes it as "bacterial SSU rRNA". It matches the Rfam family "Bacterial small subunit ribosomal RNA", at positions 8 to 796 of the family's 1533-position model. The record is from RNAcentral.